This 408-nucleotide ribosomal RNA is filed under the name Micromonosporaceae bacterium Ellin7227. RNAcentral describes it as "bacterial SSU rRNA". It matches the Rfam family "Bacterial small subunit ribosomal RNA", at positions 28 to 438 of the family's 1533-position model. Lineage: Bacteria; Bacillati; Actinomycetota; Actinomycetes; Micromonosporales; Micromonosporaceae. The record is from RNAcentral.
GACGAACGCUGGCGGCGUGCUUAACACAUGCAAGUCGAGCGGAAAGGCCUCUUCGGGGGUACUCGAGCGGCGAACGGGUGAGUAACACGUGAGUAACCUGUCCUUGGCUUUGGGAUAACCCUCGGAAACGGGGGCUAAUACCGGAUAUGACCUUGUCCUGCAUGGGGUGGGGUGGAAAGUUUUUUCGGCUAGGGGUGGGCUCGCGGCCUAUCAGCUUGUUGGUGGGGUGAUGGCCUACCAAGGCGACGACGGGUAGCCGGCCUGAGAGGGCGACCGGCCACACUGGGACUGAGACACGGCCCAGACUCCUACGGGAGGCAGCAGUGGGGAAUAUUGCACAAUGGGCGGAAGCCUGAUGCAGCGACGCCGCGUGAGGGAUGACGGCCUUCGGGUUCUAAACCUCUUUCA